AAUUCUGCUCGAUUACCAUAUUUUUGUGUGCUAUUGCCCACGCCUUUCGAGUGGGCCGGGCCACCGGUCUCGGAUCGCCUAAAAAAUUUUCGGGCCAUCAAUUAAGACCUAAGGAACCAUAGUCACCGCCUCGCCAUGAUCGUUCCUCAUUUUUUGCAUUUUUUGGUCAAAAAACUAAAAUUCUGCCCGAUUCCCAUAUUUUUGUGUGCUAUCGCCCACGCCUUCCGAGUGGGUCGGGCCCCCCGGAGCCGGAUCGCCUAAAAAUUUUCCGGACUAUCAAAUACGACCUAAGGAACCAUAGUCACCGCCCGCCAUGAUCGUUCCUAGUCUUUUGCGUUUUUCAGCCAAAAAACUAGAAUUUGCGCGAUUUCCAUAUUUUCGUGUGCUUUAGCCCACGUCUUCCAAGGGGUCCCGGGAACCCCGAACCCCGAUCGCCUAAAAAUUUUUCGGGCCAUCAAAUACGACCUAAGGAACCAUAGUAACCACCCCGUUUCGGACAUGCUCCUAAGUCCAAAAUUACCAUACGGAGCUAUUGGAAUCAUCAAAAUUCAAAUCCGAGGUCAUUUACACAUAGGUCCAUAUCCGGUCCACUUUUCUAACUUAAAACUUUCAAUUAUGAGACUAAGUGACUCAUUUCAUUCUGAA
This 645-nucleotide long non-coding RNA is filed under the name Nicotiana tabacum (common tobacco). RNAcentral's name for it is "long non-coding RNA (NTAB_LNC014133)". Lineage: Eukaryota; Viridiplantae; Streptophyta; Magnoliopsida; Solanales; Solanaceae. The record is from RNAcentral.